GACGAACGCUGGCGGCGUGCCUAAUACAUGCAAGUAGAACGCUGACUACUUUAGCUUGCUAGAGUAGAAGGAGUUGCGAACGGGUGAGUAACGCGUAGGUAACCUGCCUACUAGCGGGGGAUAACUAUUGGAAACGAUAGCUAAUACCGCAUAACAGUGUUUAACACAUGUUAGAUGCUUGAAAGAUGCAAUUGCAUCACUAGUAGAUGGACCUGCGUUGUAUUAGCUAGUUGGUGGGGUAACGGCCCACCAAGGCGACGAUACAUAGCCGACCUGAGAGGGUGAUCGGCCACAUUGGGACUGAGACACGGCCCAG
Molecule: ribosomal RNA, 316 nt
Filed under: uncultured bacterium
Lineage: Bacteria
Description: bacterial SSU rRNA
Rfam family: Bacterial small subunit ribosomal RNA
Source: RNAcentral